This 253-nucleotide ribosomal RNA is filed under the name uncultured bacterium. Its description in RNAcentral is "partial 16S ribosomal RNA". It matches the Rfam family "Bacterial small subunit ribosomal RNA", at positions 524 to 776 of the family's 1533-position model. The record is from RNAcentral.
CACGUAGGGCGCAAGCGUUGUCCGGAAUUAUUGGGCGUAAAGAGCUCGUAGGCGGUCUGUUACGUCUGCUGUGAAAACCCAGGGCUUAACCCUGGGCUUGCAGUGGAUACGGGCAGACUAGAGGCAGGUAGGGGAGAAUGGAAUUCCCGGUGUAGCGGUGAAAUGCGCAGAUAUCAGGAGGAACACCGGUGGCGAAGGCGGAUCUCUGGGCCUUACCUGACGCUCAGGUGCGAAAGCUAGGGGAGCGAACAGG